UACGUAGGGGGCGAGCGUUGUCCGGAAUCAUUGGGCGUAAAGAGCGUGUAGGCGGCUCGAUAAGUCCGCUGUGAAAGUCCAGGGCUCAACCCUGGAAGGCCGGUGGAAACUGUCGGGCUAGAGUCCGGAAGAGGCGAGUGGAAUUCCCGGUGUAGCGGUGAAAUGCGCAGAUAUCGGGAGGAACACCAAUGGCGAAGGCAGCUCGCUGGGACGGUACUGACGCUGAGACGCGAAAGCGUGGGGAGCAAACAGG
Molecule: ribosomal RNA, 253 nt
Filed under: uncultured bacterium
Lineage: Bacteria
Description: partial 16S ribosomal RNA
Rfam family: Bacterial small subunit ribosomal RNA
Source: RNAcentral